UACGGGGGGGGCAAGCGUUGUUCGGAAUUACUGGGCGUAAAGGGCUCGUAGGUGGCCAACUAAGUCAGACGUGAAAUCCCUCGGCUUAACCGGGGAACUGCGUCUGAUACUGGAUGGCUAGAGAUUGGGAGAGGGAUGCGGAAUUCCAGGUGUAGCGGUGAAAUUCGUAGAUAUUAGGAAGAACACCAGUGGCGAAGGCGGCUCACUGGUCCGGUACUGACGCUGAGGUGCGAAAGCGUGGGGAGCAAACAGG
Molecule: ribosomal RNA, 253 nt
Filed under: uncultured bacterium
Lineage: Bacteria
Description: partial 16S ribosomal RNA
Rfam family: Bacterial small subunit ribosomal RNA
Source: RNAcentral